Long non-coding RNA from Suricata suricatta (meerkat), 739 nucleotides. RefSeq lists it as uncharacterized. The transcript is spliced from 2 exons. NCBI's taxonomy places the organism in Eukaryota, Metazoa, Chordata, Mammalia, Carnivora, Herpestidae. The record is from RefSeq and is a predicted model, not a curated record.
UCUGUGACUGUGUCUCUCUCCCUCUCUCUCUGACUCUGAUCCUUGCUCUCGCUCUCACCUGCACACACCUGAAGCACAUGUUCCAUUUUGUGGAAAAUGAAGAAGGAAGCCACACUCACUGAACCGAAGCCUUCUGACGUUUCGUUUGGUGUGAGGUCGCCAGAAACAGCGCCUUCGGGGGGUGGUGGAGCUUGGUCCCCCAACCCCACACCGGGAAGCCGGGCGGGGCCCAGGCACACCCCCGCCCCCACAGGGCUCGUGCUCCCAGCUCCCAAGACUCCCGGAAUUUCCUGAAGGAGCCACGGGAACAUCUGUCAUCACAGAAUUUGGUCUCUGGUCCUCAGUUCCUGAACCGCUCACAGCUCUUUUCCACCACGGCUGGGCUCACAUCGAUGAGGGGACUUUGGGACAUGCCUGAAGAAGGGCCGGUUACCAGAGAGACCCACCCAAAUCGAGGGUUGGAGGCGUCAGCCCCACCCCGACUUCCGGGGGAGCCGAGGGGCCAUGGAGCUUGAACCCGUCCGGCUGCCCACGAUUCAACCUGCCGCACCUGUGCGGUGAAGCCUCCCAGACCCACAGGGCGGGGUUCGGGGAGCAUCCAGGCUGGUGAGCAGGCGGCUCCCAUGCACCGCCAUGCUGGGACCUCGCCCUGGGUGUGUCUUCCUCUGGCCAUGGAUCCGUCUCCUUGCACACAUCCUUUGUAAUAAACCAGUAACCUCUGGCUUUCUGAGGUCCGUGA